RNAcentral lists this ribosomal RNA (496 nucleotides) under uncultured bacterium. RNAcentral's name for it is "partial 16S ribosomal RNA". It matches the Rfam family "Bacterial small subunit ribosomal RNA", at positions 29 to 507 of the family's 1533-position model. The record is from RNAcentral.
AUGAACGCUGGCGGCGUGCCUAAUACAUGCAAGUCGAGCGCACGGACGAGAAGCUUGCUUCUCUGAUGUUAGCGGCGGACGGGUGAGUAACACGUGGAUAACCUACCUAUAAGACUGGGAUAACUUCGGGAAACCGGAGCUAAUACCGGAUAAUAUUUUGAACCGCAUGGUUCAAAAGUGAAAGACGGUCUUGCUGUCACUUAUAGAUGGAUCCGCGCUGCAUUAGCUAGUUGGUAAGGUAACGGCUUACCAAGGCAACGGUGCAUAGCCGACCUGAGAGGGUGGUCGGCCGCACUGGAGCUGGGACACGGUCCAGACGCCUACGGGAGGCAGCAGUAGGGAAUCUUCCGCGAUGGGCGAAAGCCUGACGGAGCAACGCCGCGUGAGUGAUGAAGGUCUUCGGAUCGUAAAACUCUGUUAUUAGGGAAGAACAUAUGUGUAAGUAACUGUGCACAUCUUGACGGUACCUAAUCAGAAAGCCACGGCUAACUACGUG